This 484-nucleotide ribosomal RNA is filed under the name uncultured bacterium. RNAcentral describes it as "partial 16S ribosomal RNA". It matches the Rfam family "Bacterial small subunit ribosomal RNA", at positions 28 to 523 of the family's 1533-position model. The record is from RNAcentral.
GACGAACGCUGGCGGCGUGCUUAACACAUGCAAGUCGAACGAUGAAGCUGGAGCUUGCUCCGGUGGAUUAGUGGCGAACGGGUGAGUAACACGUGAGCAAUCUGCCCUUGACUCUGGGAUAACUGCGGGAAACUGUAGCUAAUACCGGAUACUUUCACUGGAAGGCAUCUUCUGGUGCAGAAAGAAUUUCGGUCAAGGAUGAGCUCGCGGCCUAUCAGCUUGUUGGUGAGGUAACGGCUCACCAAGGCGACGACGGGUAGCCGGCCUGAGAGGGUGACCGGCCACACUGGGACUGAGACACGGCCCAGACUCCUACGGGAGGCAGCAGUGGGGAAUAUUGCACAGUGGGCGCAAGCCUGAUGCAGCAACGCCGCGUGAGGGAUGAAGGCCUUCGGGUUGUAAACCUCUUUUAGCAGGGAAGAAGCGAAAGUGACGGUACCUGCAGAAAAAGCACCGGCUAACUACGUGCCAGCCGCCGCAGUAA